AGGAGCUCACAGUCUAUUGA
Molecule: microRNA, 20 nt
Filed under: Mus musculus (house mouse)
Lineage: Eukaryota; Metazoa; Chordata; Mammalia; Rodentia; Muridae
Description: mmu-miR-28c
Gene: mmu-miR-28c
Source: miRBase by way of RNAcentral